UACGUAGGGGGCAAGCGUUGUCCGGAAUUAUUGGGCGUAAAGAGCGCGUAGGCGGUCCGAUAAGUCGGCUGUGAAAGUCAUGGGCUCAACCCAUGAAAGCCGGCCGAUACUGUCGGACUAGAGUUCGGAAGAGGCAAGUGGAAUUCCCGGUGUAGCGGUGAAAUGCGCAGAUAUCGGGAGGAACACCGGUGGCGAAGGCGGGUCUCUGGGCAGUAACUGACGCUGAGGAGCGAAAGCGUGGGGAGCGAACAGG
This 253-nucleotide ribosomal RNA is filed under the name uncultured bacterium. RNAcentral describes it as "partial 16S ribosomal RNA". It matches the Rfam family "Bacterial small subunit ribosomal RNA", at positions 524 to 776 of the family's 1533-position model. The record is from RNAcentral.